This 77-nucleotide transfer RNA is filed under the name Armatimonadetes bacterium CG2_30_59_28. RNAcentral describes it as "tRNA-Arg". It matches the Rfam family "tRNA". From Rfam's summary of the family: Transfer RNA (tRNA) molecules are approximately 80 nucleotides in length. The record is from RNAcentral. Lineage: Bacteria; Bacillati; Armatimonadota. RNAcentral also lists the same sequence under 5 other names.
GUGCCUGUAGCUCAGUGGAUUAGAGCGCGUGGCUACGGACCACGAGGUCGGGGGUUCAAAUCCCUCCAGGCACGCCA